UUAAAAAGUUCGUAUCAGAUAUACGCGUGUAUUCGCCUGUAUUCACCGACUUGGAAGAAUUCGCUAAUUUAACGAUAUCUUUCAGAGAUAUGGCCAACACUCGUCUUAAUUAUUAAUGUGAAACUUCUCUCGAUUCACUCUCUCGAGUUUACCCACUUUUUGCUCUAAUAAAGUCGCCCAGGUUUUAUCUGGAAAUUUUCACCGUAAGCUCUAACCCGACCAACGAGAGAAAAUCGAACGAACACGAAUGAUAAAUUCGUCCUACUCGAUUAAAUCCACAAAUCCAAUUAGUAAGACUGAUCCGAUUUCUGCGUUUAAUUAAGACAUCAGUCUGUUGCGUCUUGCUUCUGAUUUGAUUAAGUACGUGAAAACAUAUCGCGUUAGAACGAUGGACAAACAUUUUACGGAGAACAGAUGCAUUUAGAAAGUAGAAUAUGUAAAUCGGGCACUAAUCUAACACGCUAACCAUUAUGGAUUAGGUGUAGCUACUCUAUAGCUCGUGUUAUGCGCUUCUUCUUUCACAGAAUACGUCAUUAAUUCCAUGAAUAUUGAUGAUGCUUUUUUAGUGCGUCUUGGUUUCUGUGGAAAUUACAUAAUUGUUUACAUUGCAUAUGGAUUACAUUUCUUAAUGCAUCGUUAUCUAAUUGUAAUAGCAACGGCUAUGAUAAUAAGAUAACUGAAAUAUGGCAAUAAACGAUUAAAGGGCGCAGAAAAAAACCAAUUGAAGGAACAAAGAAUCAUCGCCACGUCAAUUAAGGAGAAAUUGUGUUAAGAAUAAAUCAAUCUCAUUCAUAGUUCGAUUUAGAAAAAAAAAAAAAAAGAAAAGAAUAUGAAAAUAAUCUUGCUCGAAAUUGAGAAAUGAUAAGUCAUAACAUGAUAACCUGAUAACCAUGAAUAACAACGUAUAAUAUAAUAUUUGACGAAGACUGAUAUACGCAACGUGGUGAUUAUCGUUUAACGAUUGAUUACAUCUUUGGAUGUCGAUCAAAAUUCUUUGAAAAUAAAUUGACAAGAUCAACGACUUGGCACAGAAAAAUAAAAUGCGACGCUAACAAUUGAAUUUGGGUCAGUUCACACCUCACACGCGAAACCUGUAAACCUUCGGAAGUAUGUACGUACUUAAUUUAUCUUUAAUCUUGAGAGGUUUGUAGCAUUCUAGAUAUUUACUACAUUGUUAACCAGCACAAACAUGCUUCUGUUUAUACGUACAUCAGUUUACACAAUUAUUAAUACCAAAACCAAAGAGUAAUAAAAAUAAGCAAUUUGCAAUUUUUUAAUAAUUCGAAUAAUUUCUUGCAAAUUGCUUGUUUAUAACGUAAACUUGUUUUCUCCCUCGCAUUAGCUUUAUAUUUUUUCACGUAUUUUUCAUCUUCAUUUCAUGUUGGUAAAAAUCGUGUACAUUGCCAUUAUGUUAUUGUUCAGUGUUAUAAAUUUUUGUUAUCCAAUUAUGCCAAUACCGGCACACGAUGAUUUCUACAUAGGAUAGCUGAUGAACAAUGUGCUAAAAUCUGCCGUCUGUUCGGAACAUGCCUUUCGUGUUCUUGCCAAUGCGCCACAAGGAAGUUCGAUUACGGAUUCGCGGGAAAUCGAUUUAAAACGUAUAGAAACAUUCAAAGACGAUGGUCGCGUGAUAUUUGCAGAAAUACUGAAACGUAGAAACGUCAUUCUGAUAAGCGUGGAAGCAUUCUGAGACGUACUUUCUUAACGAUGUACACGAUGUUAUUUAUACACGGUGAUCCAACAAUAACCAAUAACCACGCUUAUUAUUAUAGACAUGAAAAAAGAUCGAUAUUCGUCUCUUUUUUUUUCUCGCUUUAAUAAAAGAGAUGAGAGCAGGUGACAAACAAUUUCGUUUCUUGUGAAUCAUUCUGUACGUGAAACAACGUAAUUUACAAUCUUCACACUCGAAUGCAUCAAGAUUGCCGGCAGCAAUUACUCGAUUUCCUAACCGUAUGAAAUGAUGAGGACAUUUUCAUGAACCGUGGCAAACUGUCAAUUAUUAUUGUACUGUAAGCGCUUUUACUCGUUAAACCUACGGUAUAAAGUGAACGUGUUUGCUCGAGCUCACCGUACACGAAGCGUUCAAGCGAGUGAACCGAUGCAAUCACAAUAUCACAGGCAAUUCCAUUCGAAACUCGAGAGGCUCGUGCUCUCCUUAUUCGGCGUAUUCUUGACAUCAUCGAGACAACACAUAGAUACUAUCGCUAUGACUCAUUCCCAUCUGGACGCGAUGACAGAGAAAACCAGAGACAUUUCUCUUCUGAGGGGUGUGUCUCUUUUUCUCUCUCUCAUCCCUCUAUCAUCGUUCCAUUCUUUCGAGUGCCGUCUUCGACAUUGAUUUCGAUUUACAAGAAAACAGAACACAGUCUUUUGCUCGAUAAACUCUGUCCAAUAACAUUCGAUAGAAAACGGCGUGAAAAGUAAGAAACGUGAAACUAGGUCUAAGACAACGUAUUGCCUUCUUGCGGUCUGCUCGUCUACAUCGGAAGGAUUCGCCGGAAGACACUCACCGGACCUGACGAUCAACGGAGGAUACCUCUGGUCGAAAUUCUAAUAUUAGCGCAGCGCAUUCUCCAGUCGAUACUCUAGACUCUAGACAUCCACCACUACCACUGAUCUCCUCGCGAUGGCACGCGACACCAUAUCUGUAAGCGUGUGUACGUGUGAACGCACUACCACGAGCACGCGACGACAGAACACGAUGAUGCAAAAUCUAAGCGGCUCACCUUUCGAAAGAUACGCGAUUCUGACAAUCUGUUGGAAACGUUUACGGCUAGAGCACGUUCGGUAUGGAAUGAACCGUUUCUAGGUCGUAAAGGAUGAUCAACGAUGCCGCUGUCGUAACGUCGAACCGCGCACACGCCGCACGGGCAUUAUGCUACAAAGAUCACCAACUAUGGAAGUGGUGGGACACGAUUCCAUGGCACUGAAUGGUGCGACGGCGUGGCGCUAUCUGGAGUGACGUAUGAAUACUCGUUAAUCGAAUUGCUCAAUUGCUGAGUAGGUAAAAAGAGAGUAAGUUAUCGAUAGAUUGAAUUAAUAAACGAUUUCGCGUAGUGACGCACCCUUUGAAUUACUUUGAACAUUAUGCUCAAGAUUUUUUUUCGACUCGUUCAAAAUGUAUUAAGACUCGAGGUUUACAACUGGUCGAGACUUUCAAUAAUUUGAAGUCUCGAAUCAUGUUCGAAAUGAUUGAAAUUUUCAAAGAAUUUAAAAAAUUUCGAGUCACUCCAAAAUGAAGAAUCAAACCGUUAUCAGACACGUGACUGUCAAACGAAACGGAGAAAGAAAAAUGAUACAGAGACUGAAUAAUAUAAAAUAUCUUUGUUUUUGUGGCAUAUUACUAAAAGCUGGAAGUACUUCCUUAGAGUUGCAAUUUCUGUUUGAACGUGUGUACCUUAUGAUGUAUGAAUGGUAACCAUAUUUUUAAUCUUAACUGUAUUUUAAUCGGCACUUUCUCCUGGGUAGAAAUAACUACGUAUUAAGUCUGAUUUGAAUGCGAACGAAAUCUUUGUGUAUACUGAAUAAAAUUGGGAAAUA
Long non-coding RNA from Bombus terrestris (buff-tailed bumblebee), 3540 nucleotides. RefSeq lists it as uncharacterized. The transcript is spliced from 3 exons. NCBI's taxonomy places the organism in Eukaryota, Metazoa, Arthropoda, Insecta, Hymenoptera, Apidae. The record is from RefSeq and is a predicted model, not a curated record.